Molecule: long non-coding RNA, 651 nt
Organism: Sabethes cyaneus
Lineage: Eukaryota; Metazoa; Arthropoda; Insecta; Diptera; Culicidae
Exons: 5
Source: RefSeq, a predicted model, not a curated record
GUAAAAGUAACGUCAAUUGACAUAGCAUUAUGAUGCACUUCUGUCUUGAUCAGCGGAUCACUCACCUCAAUACGACAGCACUCAUCGUCUGUUGUAAACAACAAAUCGAGAAAUCUGUUGUUUUGAUUCGGGAUACCGCAAAUUUGGAAAAAGCCACAAGCAGCCAUCGAAUCAACGAACAGUUCUUCUUCUGGCUGACGUACUUGAUAAGGUGACGAUGAAUCUACAAUAUUGCGGAUGCUUUCUACGUAUGAUGCAUAGCGACCAAAAUGCGAAUCAGGAGGACGAUUCGAAAAUAACGUUACUAUGAAACUUCUGAUUAACAGCAAUCAGUACACCACCGCCGCUGGUUUUAUCAGAAUUCGAUGAGGAUCUAUCGCAACGAAAGCAUAAACAUCGAAAUCACGCUCCAGUGCGGACAUGAAGACAGCUUCGAGCCGGCUACUGCUUCGGAUACUAUUCAUAUUCUGAUGAAUCACGCAAGCAACAGUUAUACACUUCUGGACAAGUGGAAUCAUUAAGUAACGGUGAAAAACGAGGCGAAGCAGAAUAUCGGGGAUUACUCGUUUGGCUGGCUUGGCGGGGGAAUAGGAAAUAAUUUCGGCUGAAUCCCGCGAGUGAAUUCAAACUCACGGAAAUAAAUACCCUUCU